This 92-nucleotide transfer RNA is filed under the name Streptomyces fructofermentans. RNAcentral's name for it is "tRNA-Leu". Lineage: Bacteria; Bacillati; Actinomycetota; Actinomycetes; Kitasatosporales; Streptomycetaceae. The record is from RNAcentral.
GUCGCCGCGGGCGGGGCGAACGACCUGACCGUGGAGCGCGGGCACGGGAGCGGCACGAUCACCGUCGCCGGUACGACACCGGUCGGCGGCCC